CCUGUGAGAGAGAAAACAAUACAAUGAAACCUGGUACCUGAUGAACUUAAUUUCUUUCAUACAGUGAUGUGAAAUUCAAGGCUGGCACUUGACCUCAUGUAAAAUUUUUUGUUCUAGUUUUUUUCUUUUCCAUUUAACACACAGACAACUCCUUUUCCCUACACACAAUCAAAUUUUUACUGGAAGAUUCCUUAGGUAUGUGGCAUCUAUCUCUCAUCUUAAGAGAGAAAGAAACUGAGGCUUGGAGUUUCAUCUGAUCCAAGCUAUAUAGCUAAUUAGUGGUAAAACUAAUGCAGUGUUCUUUGAAUACAUGAUAAGUAUCUUAUACUUUUCUGUUGUCUUCUAAUUGUUGGUAAAGCAAGGUCUUGAUUUAAGUGCAAACUCAGCUCAAACUAAAAACUUAAAUGCUUCCAGAGCCAAGAUAACGACAAUGCUUCAUUUCCAAUAGUGAUGUCAACGUUUUAUACUCUGGAUCUAAGAGUAUAGAUCCAGAGGGAUGGUGGUGGGUGAGGGACAUUCAGUAUCAAGGAAUUCCAGAAUGACCAUGAAAUUGUGCUAAAAGUUACUGGAAUAGAUGGAAAAAUCUCUUCUAUAUUAUGAGGUGUACUACAUGAAUAUUUACAAGGAAUUAGGUGCACGUUUUCUAAUCUUUUUGCAGGAAAAUUACUCGGGAUUUAGUAGCAUUUAAAGAGGGAGAUUACAUUUUAAGAAGAUUAGAAGAAUUCAGGUAAAUGAAAUCUAUGAGCUUUUAAUCUUGUGUGUUUGUGAAACGUCCCUUUCUAGGUUAGUGGCAAUUUAAAAUUACUAAUUCUUAGAUUGCCUGUUGCAUAGUUUCAGAUUUGUCUCAUUUAUUAUUAUUAUUGUUUUAUACUUAAUUAAAACUGGAUGUGUUAUUUUAUUAUUUACUUAGCCUGAAUCUGAAUCUGUACUAGAUACUGAAUGUUUUUCAUAGCUGGUAAAGUCUACAAAAAUGCUAAGUAGCAGCACGUGUUUCAAAUAGUGGUAGUUUUCAUAUUGUAAGACUGAUGUCUCCGUAAUAGUAUCAAAGCAAGCAAGACCUUUGAAGUAGCAGAUUUAAAAAGUGUCCAAACCUAAAUAUAGUUGAUUCUUGAACAAUAUGGACUUGAAAUGGAUGGGUCCACUUAGACAUAGAUAUUUUUGAUAAAUACAGUAUACAGUAAAUGCAUUUUCUUUUCCUUACGAUUUUCUCAAUAUUUUUUCCCUAGCUUCAUUUUUAAAAAUAUAUAAAACAUGUAAUAUAUAAAAUAUGUGUUAACUGUUUAUGUUAUUGUUUAUAUGAGGCUUCCAGUCAAAAGUGGGCUAUUAAUUAAGUUCCAGGGAGUCAAAAGUUAUAGGUGGGGGAGAGGGGGGCGCCUGGGUGGCUCAGCGCCCCAAGCAUCUGACUCUUGAUUUCAGCUCAGGUCAUGAUCUCACAGUUCCGUGGGAUCGAGUCUCGCAUCGGGCUCUGUUGACAGCAUGGAGCCUGCUUGGGAUUCUCUCCUUCUCUUUGCCUCUCCCCUGCUUGCACACACACUCUCUUUCUCUCUCAAAAUAAAUAAACAUUUCUAAAAAAGUUAUACGUGGAUUUCCAACUGCUUGGGUGAGCAGGGAGGGUUAUUGCCCCUAUCUCCUGUGUUGUUCAAGGGUCAACUACAGUUACCAAGUUAAAAAUUCAUUUUAACUUGGAAUAGGCUGCCAAAGAAUGCAGGUUAUAUGGAUUCUCUUAAUUUUCAAUCAAAUGAAUGAAUGCUUCCGAUGAAAAUACAGACUGACAUGCUAAAAUCAUUAACUAUACAAAUCAUUAGUCCAAGUGUGGUUUCAGUUACUAAUGAUUUAAAUAUUGGUUCAGAACAAGUAACAGCAAAUACUUGAUUUCAUUCACUUCAUAGUUCAUAAGUUUCUUUCAUAUAAAAUUUCAUUUAAUAUAGGUGAUUAUCUGUAUUACAUAUAUUAAAAGAAAAGGUAGAGGAGCCUGGCUGGCUCAGUUAGUAGAGCAUGCAACUCCUGGUCAUGACUUCAAGCUCUAUGGGGGUGUAGAGCUUACUGAAAAGGAAAGAAAAGGUAACCUUGACAUCUUGAAAUGAAACCGGAUCUUGUCCAUGGAUUUUCAUUAGUUCCUGUAUGGCCUGUAUGGAUAGAAAUAAGUCUGUAAAUAAAAAAUGCUCAACAGCCCCCUUCCUGUCCCAUGGCCCCUUUCUAGUUCCACUUCCUUUCCUAUCAGACCACAAGCCUUAUCAUUUCAACCACUCUUGCCAAUAUUCUCAACUUCCUUGACCUUGCUUCACAUCCAGUCGGCCAAACUUAAACAAUUUCAGUGUAACUACCAACCUUUCAAGAUACAUAACGUUGCUAUUGAGAAUUCCAGAAAAAAAGUCUAUAAGACUACAGAUUAUUGCUACCAUAUAGGAAUGGUCUCCAACCUCAGAUCGGCCUUUACAUGGCCUAGCGAUUUAAUCUGUGAUGCCUGAUCCACUCAUUUUCCAGGAAUGCUGUUCAUACCCUCACUGUUCUUUUUUCUUUUUUUAAUUUUUUAAUGUUUAUUUUUGAGAGAGAGAGAGCGUGGGAGCAGGAAAGGGGAAGAGAAAGAGGUAGACACAGAAUCCGAAGCAGGUUCCAGGAUCUGAGCUGUCAGCACAGAGCCUGACACGGGGCUUGAACCCACAAACCGUGAGAUCAUGACCUGAGCUGAAGUUGGCCACUUAACCUACUGAGCCACCUAGGCGCCCCAUACCCUCACCAUUCUUUAAGACACCCAAUACGCCACCUCUGCCUCCCACCCUAUACUUUGCCUUCUACUUGACAGAAAAAAAUGUAAGCAAAACUCCCUCAAACUUUUUUAUAACCUUUAAGAACAACAACAACA
Molecule: long non-coding RNA, 2863 nt
Organism: Neofelis nebulosa (Clouded leopard)
Lineage: Eukaryota; Metazoa; Chordata; Mammalia; Carnivora; Felidae
Exons: 2
Source: RefSeq, a predicted model, not a curated record